UUUUGAUCCCCAGUAGGGUCGGUUGGUGGUCUGGCAUCCAGAGAUUGGUUUGAUUUCCUGAUUGCUUUUGAUCCUCAGUAGAGUGGCUUGUUGCGGAAUCUACUUGUGGGAUCUGUUUUUCCUUCAGUGGGUGUAUCCCCGAUGGAAUGGCUACUUGUGUUCUCCCCAGGUAGAGUUGCUUGUGCAGUAGAUUCUACAUGGAUGAU
RNAcentral lists this long non-coding RNA (206 nucleotides) under Lathyrus oleraceus (garden pea). RNAcentral's name for it is "Pisum sativum (pea) long non-coding RNA (PSAT_LNC021854)". The record is from RNAcentral. Lineage: Eukaryota; Viridiplantae; Streptophyta; Magnoliopsida; Fabales; Fabaceae.